This 84-nucleotide transfer RNA is filed under the name Felis catus (domestic cat). It matches the Rfam family "tRNA". Rfam says of the family: Transfer RNA (tRNA) molecules are approximately 80 nucleotides in length. Their secondary structure includes four short double-helical elements and three loops (D, anti-codon, and T loops). Lineage: Eukaryota; Metazoa; Chordata; Mammalia; Carnivora; Felidae. The record is from Rfam by way of RNAcentral.
ACCUGGGUGGCUCAGUCUUUUGAGCAUCUGACUUUGGCUCAGGUCGUGAUCUCAGGGUCAUGGGUUCAAGCCCCAUGUCGGGCU